CGUAGGUGGCAAGCGUUGUCCGGAUUUAUUGGGUUUAAAGGGUGCGUAGGCGGUCCUAUAAGUCAGUGGUGAAAUACGGCAGCUCAACUGUCGAGGUGCCAUUGAUACUGCAGGACUAGAGUACUGAUGAGGUAGGCGGAAUGGACGGUGUAGCGGUGAAAUGCUUAGAUAUCGUCCAGAACACCGAUAGCGAAGGCAGCUUACUAAAGAGUAACUGACGCUGAGGCACGAAAGUGUGGGGGAUCAAACAGGAUUAGAUACCCUGGUAGUCCACACUGUAAACGUUGAUCACUAGAUGUUGGCGAUACACUGCCAGCGUUCCAGCAAAAGCGAUAAGUGAUCCACCUGGGGAGUACGCCGCAAGGGUG
RNAcentral lists this ribosomal RNA (368 nucleotides) under uncultured organism. RNAcentral's name for it is "bacterial SSU rRNA". It matches the Rfam family "Bacterial small subunit ribosomal RNA", at positions 526 to 896 of the family's 1533-position model. The record is from RNAcentral.